GCGUGCGCCUACGGUGCCAACGGCGCCAACGGUGCUAACGACACCGACAGCUCUCGGGUCUCCGCCUGUGAACACAUCCGCGGGCGGCUGGAGCCGGCCGGGUCAUCGCUGGCGUCGGAGCCGCGGGGAUCCGGGUCCACCCGGGAUAAGCAACAGAGUCAGGGGCCAGGAUCAGAGCUCUCCCUGGACAGAACCUUAGUUAGCAACGGUAUUCACCAUGCUGAGGGGAUCUGUGGACACCUGCCCAGAGAAGCAGGAUGCCUACAAAAGUACGUCCACCUCAAUAAGUUAAUGAAGUGGUGAACUCCAAACCCAGAGACUGAGAGAGCAUCCUGGCUGCCAGCUGGCACCUCACCCAGAAACGCAACAGGUCCUGCCAUCACCAUACUUGGUUUUUUCCUGUAGCUAUGCCUUGGCUCAAGACCCAUCUGCACCUAUACUUUGGGCCCCAGGCUGAAUGCCUGGCUGUCCCUGUGCUCUGCAAGAGCAGACAAGAUGCGGGCGUUGCGGGGUCCCAAACAGGCCCUAGGCCUCAGAAUGAAGAAGGCGCUUAGAGGCUGCACCCACAACUUAGGGACACUGCAAACAAAUCACUGGAGGCAGCUUGUGUCCCUUAUGACUGGAGGAGUUUCAGCAGGAAAUUUAGCCUAGUCCUAGGGGACAGGGCCUCUGCCUUAAGGACAAUAUGUAGUUUCAGAGGGCAUUGCUUCCCAGUCAUGAGAACAAGUGGCCAGGACACAAGGCCAGGACAGAGGUGUGAGCCCAGUGAGACUGUUGAGGAAAAGCUGAGAUGACUUCUGAUCGGCAGACUCUAAAGAAGGCUGCCUGGAGGAGGUGGUCAUGAGCCCUGCAUGAUGUGGAUGCUGGAAGAUAGAGGAGAGAACUUGCUUUUCAGACCCCAGGGAUCUCUCUGAUCGCCACAGUAAUUUCCUAUGGGAUUUGAUCCCUGAGAUAAAGCUCCUGUCCACCAAACACAGAAGGGAAAGGGAGAGAUGGGAGGAGGCAUAACGAAACAUAAAGCUUCUCCUGGGAGAGGGGGUUGGACUGUCGAUGCUCAGCCUUGCCUGAUGCCGAUGCCCAGCCCGUGCUCACCUUCUGUGGCUGCACUUGCUCCCUUCUUCCUCUCCUGCUGUAUGCAGAGCCUCUGAGAUCCGGAUCUCUCAACCGUCUGGCUUCCUGGUGGCUGUUUCCUGUGUUUAGAACUGGAAGGCUGAGCAGACUCCAGCCCAUCCAGCCAGCCACACUCCCUCCUGUCCUUGGGUGGAGCAGGGGACAGCAGCAGAGGGAAGGGGAGAGGGAUCACCUAACCCUGUGGAAGAAAAUGAGGAAUGAGAGAGGCAUCUCUUGCUGUGUAACAAACUACCCCACAAUUUAGCAGCUUAAAACAGUCCACAGGUUCUGUGACUUAGGAAUUCAAGUAGUUAGUGGGGUCUCUUCCUGGAGGCUUCUUACAGGCUACAGUCUGUGUUUGGAGGCUGUGGUCUCAUGAAGGGUUGGGUGAGAGGAGGUACCUCACACUCACACAGAGCGAAUGCUGUAGUUUGCAGGAUCCAGUUCCUCACCAGCAGAUCAAUAAAGGGCUCGUGCUGCUUACUUCUGGCUGGAGGCCUUCCUCCCUUCCCUGCAUGGGCCUGUUCAUGUACGUGCACACUGCUCCCACCUAAUUGGGCAAGCAAGAGAGGGCAAAUGAGGAGGGAGUGUCUUUCACAAUCCGACUUCACAAGGGACAUCCUGGGAUUUUCCCUAUUUUUGUGGGUUUUAGCUCUUAUCGAAGGGGAUGCACUGGAAUGUGCUACCAGGAAGGGACAUUGAGGGCCACCGUAUGGGUUGUCUUGCUGCAGCUUGCUAGGUCUCCACCUAUGACUGCUCUUCUUGUGUCCUUGGGGCUCCAGGGGUGCGUCUCACCAGGGCCCAAUAUUCAGUAGCUUGUUGCCCCUUGUGUUUUGAUUUAAAAAAAAAUUGAAGCCCUAAUUGGUACAUUCUGAGGUAGAUGUAUCCAAGGGAGUCAUAGAGUAUGUCCUUGUUGAGAAAACUGUCAGGGCCCUGUGGACCUCUUUCUAAGGCAGCUGAUGCUCUUGAAUUCUCCAGCAUGACCAAUAGAGCAUCUUAAGCUUCUGAGUUCGCAGUCUGUCCCUCAGAGCAAGUUCGUGCCCUCAGCUGUCACUUUAGAGGCUCCUGACAGUCUAGUGCUGGUGGGUGUAGAACUCAGAAAAUAAUGGGUGAGCAUGGGAGAGAGCAGCUCCCCGGUCCCCUUGCUUGUAUCCGCAUGGGCCACACAGAUGCUUGAAGCACAGCAGAGUCCAUAUCUUGGUAGAACACCUCUCAGAACCUCCUAGACAAGGCCAGGUCUGUUUACAUCCUCAAGAACCCUCAAGGUUUCCCAAGGCUCUGCUGAGGUCCACCUUUCCUCUUACCUGCUCUAGAGCCAUUAGCUCUAUAACUAGGUGUUCUACCAUCUUAUGGCCGUCUCUGGUCGCUUUAGUGUGUCUCUGCUCAAGGAAGUAAUCAAUUGAAUCUAUGAAGGACUUAGGGUUUUUUUUUGUUGUUGUUGUUUUGUUUUUUAAAACUGAAAAUAAAACCCAGGUCAUUGCACAUGAGAAACACUGUCUCUAAGUUACACCCCUGCCCUGGGUCCAUUUUUACUGGUGAAUCUCAUCUCUGGAAGGAAAAAAGGGAGAGCCUAGAGGAAUGACAAAGGGCCCAGGUCCUCCUGGGCUUUAGAGCAUACCCCAAAGAGGAAAGGAAAUACGCCCAUGCAUUUAAUGUUGCUUUUUGUGUGUCUGCAAUCUGUGGCUGAUCUUGUAUUUUCUUUACUAUGCUUUAGGAGAACUAGAAGUUACUCUGAUCUCUGUAAUGCCUUCCUAUUAAACACUUAACUCUAUGGAUAUAGAAAACACAAAGGGACCAGAAGAAAAUCCCAGUUUGGUGAAAUGUCUGUUAACCGUUGUAUUGGUGUAAACAGCAAAUUCUACAAUUAAGGAUGUCUUAACCCUUGCCUGCAAUAUCUGUUUCUGUAAGCAAGCUGUUUAAGGAAUUUCCUGUAAUGGCUUACAUACACAUAGACAUUUGUAGUUGAAAAUCAUGUAGGUUACAGUCCAAAGGCCUAUGGAUUUUUGUGAUCAAGGCCCAAAACCUCAGAGUGUUAGCUUGUCUGGGUCCACUAGCACAAUAAAAGAGUGAGUUCUCUGAC
Molecule: long non-coding RNA, 3190 nt
Organism: Nannospalax galili (Upper Galilee mountains blind mole rat)
Lineage: Eukaryota; Metazoa; Chordata; Mammalia; Rodentia; Spalacidae
Exons: 3
Source: RefSeq, a predicted model, not a curated record